UACGAAGGGGGCAAGCGUUGUUCGGAAUUAUUGGGCGUAAAGGGAGCGUAGGCGGUUCGGCAAGUCUUUAGUGAAAGCGCCCGGCUCAACUGGGCGAGGUCCGUGGAAACUGGUCAGCUGGAGGACGGUAGAGGCGAGUGGAAUUCCCGGUGUAGUGGUGAAAUGCGUAGAGAUCGGGAGGAACACCUGUGGCGAAGGCGGCUCGCUGGGCCGGUCCUGACGCUGAGACGCGAAGGCGUGGGGAGCGAACGGG
Molecule: ribosomal RNA, 253 nt
Filed under: uncultured bacterium
Lineage: Bacteria
Description: partial 16S ribosomal RNA
Rfam family: Bacterial small subunit ribosomal RNA
Source: RNAcentral